RNAcentral lists this ribosomal RNA (443 nucleotides) under uncultured Clostridia bacterium. RNAcentral describes it as "bacterial SSU rRNA". It matches the Rfam family "Bacterial small subunit ribosomal RNA", at positions 338 to 795 of the family's 1533-position model. Lineage: Bacteria; Bacillati; Bacillota; Clostridia. The record is from RNAcentral.
CCUACGGGGGGCAGCAGUGGGGAAUAUUGGGCAAUGGGCGAAAGCCUGACCCAGCGACGCCGCGUGAAGGAAGAAGGUCUUCGGAUUGUAAACUUCAGUAGGCAGGGACGAAGGAAGUGACGGUACCUGCAGAGUAAGCCACGGCCAACUACGUGCCAGCAGCCGCGGUAAUACGUAGGUGGCGAGCGUUAUCCGGAUUUACUGGGUGUAAAGGGUGUGUAGGCGGGGCUGCAAGUCUGGUGUGAAAUUUAACGGCUUAACCGUUAAUGUGCAUUAGAAACUGCGGCUCUUGAGGGCCGGAGGGGUAAACGGAAUUCCCGGUGUAGCGGUAAAAUGCGUAGAUAUCGGGAGGAACACCAGUGGCGAAGGCGGUUUACUGGACGGCAACUGACGCUGAGACACGAAAGCGUGGGGAGCAAACAGGAUUAGAUACCCGUGUAGUC